AGUGAGCGCUGGCGGCGUGCUUAACACAUGCAAGUCGAACGAGAACGGAUUAUAGCUUGCUAUAAUUGUCAGCUAAGUGGCGCACGGGUGAGUAAUGUAUAGGUAAUAUGCCUCUUACUAAGGGAUAACAAAUGGAAACGUUUGCUAAUACCUUAUACUCCUUAUUAACCUAAGUUAAUAAGGGAAAGAUUUAUUGGUAAGAGAUUAGCCUGUAUUGUAUCAGUUAGUUGGUGGGGUAAUGGCUUACCAAGACUAUGACACAUAACUGGUUUGAGAGGAUGAUCAGUCACACUGGAACUGAGACACGGUCCAGACUCCUACGGGAGGCAGCAGUGGGGAAUAUUGCACAAUGGACGAAAGUCUGAUGCAGCAACGCCGCGUGGAGGAUGACACAUUUCGGUGCGUAAACUCCUUUUAUAUGAGAAGAUGAUGACGGUAUUAUAUGAAUAAGCACCGGCUAACUCCGUGCCAGCAGCCGCCGUAA
RNAcentral lists this ribosomal RNA (484 nucleotides) under uncultured bacterium. RNAcentral's name for it is "partial 16S ribosomal RNA". It matches the Rfam family "Bacterial small subunit ribosomal RNA", at positions 29 to 523 of the family's 1533-position model. The record is from RNAcentral.